UUUAUUAGAAGAGACGCAUUUAUUAGAUAAAAAGCCAGUUCAUGCUUUUACAGUAUGAAAAUUGGUGAUUUAUAAUAACUUAGCAAAUCGCAAAGUGAAAACAGGCGAUAAAUCAUUCAAGUUUCUGACCUAUCAGCUUUCGACGGUAUGGUAUUGGCUUACCGUGGCAGUGACGGUUAACGGGGGAUUAGGGUUCGAUUCCGGAGAGGGAGCCUGAGAAACGGCUACCACAUCUAAGGAAGGCAGCAGGCGCGCAAAUUACCCAAUUCUAACAGUUUGAGAGAGGUAGUAACAAGAAAUAACAAUACAAGGCAGUUAAAAUGCUUUGUAAUUGGAAUGAUAGAAAUUUAAACCCUUUUUAAAGUAUCAAUUGGAGGGCAAGUCUGGUGCCAGCAGCCGCGGUAAUUCCAGCUCCAAUAGCGUAUAUUAAAAUUGUUGCAGUUAAAAAGCUCGUAGUUGAAGUUCUGCUGAAAGUAACCGGUCUGCUUUUAAUAAAAGUGGUAUCUUGGUAUGUAUUUAGCAAUGAUGUCCUUUGAAGUGUUUUUUACUUUAUUGUAAUAAAGCAUAUUCAGGACUUUUACUUUGAGAAAAUUAGAGUGUUUCUAGCAGGCUGACGCUUUGAAU
RNAcentral lists this ribosomal RNA (624 nucleotides) under Hepatozoon canis. RNAcentral's name for it is "bacterial SSU rRNA". It matches the Rfam family "Eukaryotic small subunit ribosomal RNA", at positions 188 to 800 of the family's 1831-position model. The record is from RNAcentral. Lineage: Eukaryota; Apicomplexa; Hepatozoidae.